Molecule: non-coding RNA, 24 nt
Filed under: Arabidopsis thaliana (thale cress)
Lineage: Eukaryota; Viridiplantae; Streptophyta; Magnoliopsida; Brassicales; Brassicaceae
Source: RNAcentral
CUGUUACAGCACUAUUGCGGUGCA